AUUUCGCACAGAUUUAAGUCUUGUUUCGCCAAAACCUUGAGUGACUAUCUGGCUACAAACAGAAUGGAUGGUGAGAACUGUGGACGUUGCUCUCUAUGUUCUACUAUCGCCAUGAGUUAGCCAGUGUGAAGAAGGAACUAGCAGAAGUUGAAGGCCAGCUGCAGAUUCUCUUGGACAGACAACAUCAGCUGGCAGAGAAGAGGAGGGACCUUGAGGCCAUCUUGAAACAACAGUCAGAGCAGACAAACCAGGUGGACGACAAAAAAUGGGAGACCAAAGAUUUUGCUUGGUCAAAGGAGUUGGAGGAGAAGAUGACCUCAGUGUUCGGGAUCCGGGCACUGCGUCCGAUGCAGCUACAGACGAUGAACGUCACCAUGUCGGGGAAGGACUGUAUGCUCAUUAUGCCGACUGGUGGGGGCAAGAGUCUAUGUUUUCAGCUCCCAGCUGUUGCGUCAAAAGGUAUAACCCUGGUUGUCUCCCCUUUGGUAUCUUUAAUGGAGGACCAAAUGAUGGCUCUAGAACAGCUAGGUGUUGAGGCAGCCAUGUUGAAUGCUGCCGCCACCAAAGAACACGUGAAAUACGUUCAGGAUGCCAUGAUCGACAAGAAGGCGCCCUUGAAAAUGGUGUAUGUGACCCCAGAGAAACUGGCGAAGAGUAAACGCUUCAUGAACCGACUGGAGAAGAUGUACCAGCUUGGGCGGUUUGCGAGGCUUGUCAUUGAUGAGGUCCACUGUUGUUCUCAGUGGGGUCAUGACUUCAGACCUGACUACAAAUUCCUUGGCAUCAUGAAGCGGCAGUUUCCCGAGGUGCCGAUCCUGGGAUUGACAGCAACCGCAACAACAAAGGUGCUGCAGGACGUCAAGAAGAUUCUUGCUAUCCCCAACUGUCAUCUCUUCAGGGCAUCCUUCAACAGACCCAAUCUCUACUAUGAGGUUCGACCCAAGCCGUCAGCACAGAAAGACUCAAUGGAUGAAAUACAGGAGCUUAUCAAAUCGAGGUUCAGGGGACAGUCAGGAAUCGUGUACUGUUUCUCCAGGAAGGAUGCUGAGGAGGUUACCAUGGAGCUGCAGAAAAGGGGUAUUAAGGCAGGGUGUUACCAUGGUGACCUGUCCUCCAAAGAGAGGAGCCGUGUGCACAAGCUGUGGACAGCCAGUCAGAUUCAUGUUGUGGUAGCAACAGUAGCAUUUGGCAUGGGCAUCGACAAACCUGACGUGAGGUUCGUCAUCCAUCACUCGUUAAGCAAGUCAAUGGAGAACCUCUACCAGGAGAGUGGGCGAGCAGGAAGAGACGACAAGCUGUCACACUGUAUUGUGUUCUUUCGCUUUGCUGAUGUGUUCAGACAGAGUACCAUGGUGUUCACAGAACAGACAGGACUCGACAACCUGUAUGGUAUUUUGGGAUACUGUAUCGACACCAGCAGAUGUCGACGGUCGAUGAUCGCCAGGCACUUUGGUGAGGUAUGGGAAGCGUCACAGUGUAACAGUAAAUGUGACCACUGUGACCCAACAAGAUCAGCGACAUCCAACAAACGUGACGUAACACGUCAUGGGCAGAACAUCCUGAAGAUCCUAGACCAGGCAGCAUGUACAGACCAAAGGGUCACAGCUAUCAAACUCAUUGAUGCCUUAUAUGGCAAGGGUCAGGGGUCGCUGAAGGUGAAAGGCCUUGACACCAUGUCCAUAUCCCGUGAGAAGGCGGAGAGGAUCGUGGCCUAUAUGCUGCUGCAUGCUUACCUGAAGGAAGAUUUUCACUUCACACCCUACUCCACCAUCAGCUACCUCCUUCCAGGUGCCAAGGCAGGUCAACUGCGAAGUGGAAUCUCAAAUAUUGCAAUGGAAUUCGAGUCAAAAGUUGUAAGAAACAACUCCAGCAGUUCUCAAGGAAAGGGGGAUAACUCUGCUACACCAUCAUCAUCAGAGGAACCAUCACCAGCAAAUAAGAAAGGACAAGCCAAACCAAAACUGGUUAUUGUGAAAAGUUUGGGACAUGUUGAUUCAGGUGGCGAUAAGCAAACAGUCAAGAAACAUAACUCUUUGACCAAAAAACGUAAACCAGUGAUUAUUGACAGUGAUGAAGACAGUCUUGAUUGUCUUGCUUUUGAUGAUGAUAUAGUUGUUCCAGCAAAGAAGAAAGUUUCUAGAUGUGAAACAUUUGGGUCAUCAGUGGCAAAUGGGGUCAGUUCACAGUCUCAGAAAGCCAUCUUGGUGGAUGACAGCAGUGAUUCUGAUUUCCAGUCAUGACCAUGUAUUGGAGAGUAUUUGAAACAGUGAUCAUGUGUUAGAGAGUAUUUGAGAACAAUGACUCUAUGUUGGAGAGUAAUUCCCAUCCUGGACAUGAGUGAGUGAGUAUGGUUUUA
This 2356-nucleotide unclassified non-coding RNA is filed under the name Haliotis rubra (blacklip abalone). Its description in RNAcentral is "aTP-dependent DNA helicase Q1-like, transcript variant X3". The record is from RNAcentral. Lineage: Eukaryota; Metazoa; Mollusca; Gastropoda; Lepetellida; Haliotidae.